Long non-coding RNA from Xiphophorus hellerii (green swordtail), 199 nucleotides. RefSeq lists it as uncharacterized. The transcript has 2 exons. The record is from RefSeq and is a predicted model, not a curated record. NCBI's taxonomy places the organism in Eukaryota, Metazoa, Chordata, Actinopteri, Cyprinodontiformes, Poeciliidae.
UAAGUCAGAGUUUAGUGCUGCGCUCUGCUCAUGGGAGCAAUUUAAUAUACUUCCGGGUCAGUUUGCUGCGUUCUCAGCAUGUGAGACCGCAUUCAUGUUGUAGUCUUGAGAAGUGAUGCUCCGAGUGUUAAGUUGAUGACGGAAAACUGCUGGCAACACUGAGCAUCACGACGAAUAAACCAGUUCGCAUCUAAGUCAA